Molecule: ribosomal RNA, 468 nt
Filed under: uncultured bacterium
Lineage: Bacteria
Description: partial 16S ribosomal RNA
Rfam family: Bacterial small subunit ribosomal RNA
Source: RNAcentral
GAUGAACGCUGGCGGCGUGCUUAACACAUGCAAGUCGAACGGAAAGGCCCUGCUUUUGUGGGGUGCUCGAGUGGCGAACGGGUGAGUAACACGUGAGUAAACUGUCCUUGACUUUGGGAUAAAUUCAGGAAACUGGGGCUAAUACAGGAUAGGAUCUACUGAUGCAUGGUGGGGGUUGGAAAGUUUCGGCGGUUGGGGCUGGACUCGCGGCUUAUCAGCUUGUUGGUGGGGUAGUGGCUUACAAAGGCUUUGACGGGUAGCCGGCCUGAGAGGGUGACCGGCCACAUGGGUACUGAGAUACGGCCCAGACUCCUACGUGAGGCAGCAGUGGGGAAUAUUGCACAAUGGGCGGAAGCCAGAUGCAGCAACGCCGCGUGCGGGAUGACGUCCUUCGGGGUAUAAACCACUUUCUCCGUUGACGAAGCGUGAGUGACGGUAAUUGGUAAAGAAGCACCGGCUAACUACGUG